CACAGCAUGUGGGAUCCGGUCACCCGCGGCGUCUACCGGGCGCUGCAGGCGGCGUUCGAGUGGCGGCGCUGGGGCC
RNAcentral lists this transfer RNA (76 nucleotides) under Microbispora sp. NBRC 16548. Its description in RNAcentral is "tRNA-Gly". Lineage: Bacteria; Bacillati; Actinomycetota; Actinomycetes; Streptosporangiales; Streptosporangiaceae. The record is from RNAcentral.